UGCAAGUGCUGUUUUUCUCACGAUGGUCUUCCAAGCCGUUGUGGCUUUGACGAAACUGCCUGUAGGCAACUCUGAUGCAGUGUU
Hucho hucho (huchen) is the source of this 84-nucleotide small nucleolar RNA. The record is from Ensembl. Lineage: Eukaryota; Metazoa; Chordata; Actinopteri; Salmoniformes; Salmonidae.